This 429-nucleotide ribosomal RNA is filed under the name Fusobacteriota bacterium. RNAcentral's name for it is "Fusobacteria bacterium partial 16S ribosomal RNA". It matches the Rfam family "Bacterial small subunit ribosomal RNA", at positions 355 to 776 of the family's 1533-position model. The record is from RNAcentral. Lineage: Bacteria; Fusobacteriati; Fusobacteriota.
UGGGGAAUAUUGCGCAAUGGGCGAAAGCCUGACGCAGCGACGCCGCGUGAGGGAUGAAGGUUUUCGGAUCGUAAACCUCUGUCAGAAGGGAAGAAACCGCACUGUGCUAAUCAGCAGUGCCUUGACGGUACCUUCAAAGGAAGCACCGGCUAACUCCGUGCCAGCAGCCGCGGUAAUACGGAGGGUGCAAGCGUUAAUCGGAAUUACUGGGCGUAAAGCGCACGUAGGCUGCUUUGUAAGUCAGGGGUGAAAUCCCACGGCUCAACCGUGGAGCUGCCUGUGAUACUGCUUAGCUUGAAUCCGGGAGAGGGUGGCGGAAUUCCAGGUGUAGGAGUGAAAUCCGUAGAUAUCUGGAGGAACAUCAGUGGCGAAGGCGGCCACCUGGACCGGUAUUGACGCUGAGGUGCGAAAGCGUGGGGAGCAAACAGG